UGUUAGGGAUUAAGCUAUCUUUCAACUGGUGCAUACUUAUUGGUGUGAGUAUGUAGCAGCAUUCUAAGUGAGGAGGUUCCAUGAAUACUGCUCUACUGCACCUGGAGACACACCUUCCAAGCCUGCAUUUUUCCACUUGCGUUGCACGAGCUUCUGACAAACAUCUAUAGUGAAUAUGUUCAAAACUCCAUCUGCAGAAGAGGGGCAAGAUUGGGGAAGAGAAGGGUCCCCAAAUCACCUGUCCCCACCAAAUUACCUAGAUAACCUUCAAAUCAUCCUGAAAAUCUAUGAAUGCGGCUUGAGAUUAAAGAGAGAACAGCUGGAAUGCUACAGUGAGAAGAGUUCACGCUUCUGUCAAGGUCAUUAUCGCUGGGAGCCAUUGUGAAGGCUGCGAACCCCAGAGCCCAGAAGGAAGCACCUCGGACUCAUUCAAAAUAGAACAGGACACAAUUGGACGGUUUGACUACAGAAGAUGACCAUGGCUGCAUCUUGUAGCAUUCCCAUCCCAUCCUGCUUCCCCCAUUGAAAUGAGACCAGAGCUCACGUAACUGGAGCCGGUCAGGAGAACAAGAUCUUCUGUUGCUGUUGCCCUACUUUCAGUGGCUCUGGGCUUAGGAGAGUCCAGAAAGAGAGAUGUUCAUGCCUCUAUGGACGUCAGUAUGGCCCUCUUUCCGAAGGUUCUGGUUAUGUGCGGGAGACUUCAACAGAUUUACUGAGAUACGACUGGCAUAGAAAACUUGGUGGGGAUUAAGGAGUCCACUUUGGAUGAGCACCAGAUGUGCUGAAUCACUAUGCUGCACACCUGAAACUAAUACUGCACUGUAUGCCAACUGAAAUUUAAAUAAAGCUUAAAAUUUAUCCAUA
Long non-coding RNA from Canis lupus familiaris (dog), 864 nucleotides. RefSeq lists it as uncharacterized. The record is from RefSeq and is a predicted model, not a curated record. NCBI's taxonomy places the organism in Eukaryota, Metazoa, Chordata, Mammalia, Carnivora, Canidae. The transcript has 4 exons.